RNAcentral lists this transfer RNA (73 nucleotides) under Marmota monax (woodchuck). RNAcentral's name for it is "tRNA.Ser". The record is from RNAcentral. Lineage: Eukaryota; Metazoa; Chordata; Mammalia; Rodentia; Sciuridae.
UGUCUGUAGCUUAGUGGUUGAGUGCUUGCCUAGAAUGCAAGAGGCCCUUGUUUCAAUCCCCAGUACCAAACAA